UAUACGCCCUUCGGGGGAAAGAAUUUCGGUGAGGGAUCGGCCCGCGUUAGAUUAGUUAGUUGGUGGGGUAAUGGCCUACCAAGACUACGAUCUAUAGCUGGUUUGAGAGGAUGAUCAGCAACACUGGGACUGAGACACGGCCCAGACUCCUACGGGAGGCAGCAGUGGGGAAUCUUAGACAAUGGGGGCAACCCUGAUCUAGCGAUGCCGCGUGAGUGAUGAAGGCCUUAGGGUCGUAAAGCUCUUUCGCCUGUGAUGAUAAUGACAGUAGCAGGUAAAGAAACCCCGGCUAACUCCGUGCCAGCAGCCGCGGUAAUACGGAGGGGGUUAGCGUUGUUCGGAAUUACUGGGCGUAAAGCGCACGUAGGCGGAUUAGUCAGUCAGAGGUGAAAUCCCAGGGCUCAACCCUGGAACUGCCUUUGAUACUGCUAGUCUUGAGUUCGAGAGAGGUAAGUGGAAUUCCGAGUGUAGAGGUGAAAUUCGUAGAUAUUCGGAGGAACACCAGUGGCGAAGGCGGCUUACUGGCUCGAUACUGACGCUGAAGUGCGAAAGUGUGGGGAGCAAACAGGAUUAGAUACCCUGGUAGUCCACACCGAAAACGAUGAAAUGCC
RNAcentral lists this ribosomal RNA (611 nucleotides) under Celeribacter sp. RNAcentral describes it as "bacterial SSU rRNA". It matches the Rfam family "Bacterial small subunit ribosomal RNA", at positions 172 to 818 of the family's 1533-position model. The record is from RNAcentral. Lineage: Bacteria; Pseudomonadati; Pseudomonadota; Alphaproteobacteria; Rhodobacterales; Roseobacteraceae.